This 431-nucleotide ribosomal RNA is filed under the name uncultured bacterium. RNAcentral's name for it is "bacterial SSU rRNA". It matches the Rfam family "Bacterial small subunit ribosomal RNA", at positions 28 to 505 of the family's 1533-position model. The record is from RNAcentral.
GAUGAACGCUGGCGGCGUGGAUAAGGCAUGCAAGUCGAAUGGGUUUAGACCCAUGGCGAACGGGGUAGUAACAGGUAGGAACGUACCUCACAGUCGGGCAUACCCUCCGGAAACGGAGAAUAAUUCCCGAUGGUCUCUUAGGAGUAAAGAUUUAUUGCUGUGAGAGCGGCCUGCUUCGUAUCAGCUUGUUGGUAGGGUAAUGGCCUACCAAGGCAAUGACGCGUAGGGGAGGUGAGAGCCUGACCCCCACCAUUGGAACUGAGACACUGUCCAAACACCUACGGGUGGCUGCAGUCGAGAAUCUUCCGCAAUGGGCGAAAGCCUGACGGAGCGACGCCGCGUGAUCGAUGAAGCACUUCGGUGUGUAAAGGUCUUUUAUAGAGGAGGAAGUUUAUUGACGUUACUCUAUGAAUAAGAGGUUGCUAAACUCG